GCAGCCGAUUUAUUUUGCACAUUCCAAGUGAAGAGAGAGACAAUGCAAUCAGAGUGUGUUUUCAGAUUGAGCUUGCCCAUUGGUUUUACUUGGAUUUCUACAUGCAAAACACACCAGGAUUACCUCAGUGUGGGAUAAGAGACUUUGCUAAAGCUGUCUUCAAUCACUGCCCUUUUUUACUUCCUCAAGGGGAAGAUGUACAAAAGGUUUUAGAGGAGUGGAAAGAAUACAAAAUGGGAGUGCCAACCUAUGGUGCAAUUAUUCUCGAUGAGACACUUGAAAAUGUUCUUUUGGUUCAGGGCUAUCUAGCAAAGUCUGGUUGGGGAUUUCCAAAAGGGAAAGUAAAUAAAGAAGAGGCUCCUCAUGACUGUGCUGCUAGAGA
Non-coding RNA from Tauraco erythrolophus (red-crested turaco), 382 nucleotides. The record is from RefSeq and is a predicted model, not a curated record. Lineage: Eukaryota; Metazoa; Chordata; Aves; Musophagiformes; Musophagidae.